GCUAUCUUGGCGUAACUGGCAGGCGCACAGGACUUAAAAUCCUGUUUCUGAAACACGAAGUGUGGGUUCGAGUCCCACAGAUAGCA
RNAcentral lists this transfer RNA (86 nucleotides) under Caudoviricetes sp. RNAcentral's name for it is "tRNA-Leu". It matches the Rfam family "tRNA". From Rfam's summary of the family: Transfer RNA (tRNA) molecules are approximately 80 nucleotides in length. Their secondary structure includes four short double-helical elements and three loops (D, anti-codon, and T loops). Lineage: Duplodnaviria; Heunggongvirae; Uroviricota; Caudoviricetes. The record is from RNAcentral.